Molecule: ribosomal RNA, 253 nt
Filed under: uncultured bacterium
Lineage: Bacteria
Description: partial 16S ribosomal RNA
Rfam family: Bacterial small subunit ribosomal RNA
Source: RNAcentral
UACGUAGGGCGCGAGCGUUGUCCGGAUUUAUUGGGCGUAAAGAGCUCGUAGGCGGCUUGUCGCGUCGAAUGUGAAAUCUCAGGGCUCAACUCUGACAUUGCAUUCGAUACGGGCAGGCUCGAGUUCGGUAGGGGAGACUGGAAUUCCUGGUGUAGCGGUGAAAUGCGCAGAUAUCAGGAGGAACACCGGUGGCGAAGGCGGGUCUCUGGGCCGAUACUGACGCUGAGGAGCGAAAGCGUGGGGAGCGAACAGG